GAUGAACGCUAGCUACAGGCUUAACACAUGCAAGUCGAGGGGCAGCGGGAUUGAAGCUUGCUUCAAUUGCCGGCGACCGGCGCACGGGUGAGUAACGCGUAUCCAACCUUCCGUACACUCAGGGAUAGCCUUUCGAAAGAAAGAUUAAUACCUGAUGGUAUGAUGAGAUUGCAUGAUAGCAUCAUUAAAGAUUUAUCGGUGUACGAUGGGGAUGCGUUCCAUUAGGUAGUAGGCGGGGUAACGGCCCACCUAGCCAACGAUGGAUAGGGGUUCUGAGAGGAAGGUCCCCCACAUUGGAACUGAGACACGGUCCAAACUCCUACGGGAGGCAGCAGUGAGGAAUAUUGGUCAAUGGACGAGAGUCUGAACCAGCCAAGUAGCGUGAAGGAUGAAGGUCCUACGGAUUGUAAACUUCUUUAUAAGGGAAUAAACCCUCCACGUGUGGGAGCUUGUAUGUACCUUA
Molecule: ribosomal RNA, 463 nt
Filed under: uncultured bacterium
Lineage: Bacteria
Description: bacterial SSU rRNA
Rfam family: Bacterial small subunit ribosomal RNA
Source: RNAcentral